This 80-nucleotide transfer RNA is filed under the name Cubamyces sp. BRFM 1775. RNAcentral's name for it is "Leiotrametes sp. BRFM 1775 tRNA-Ala". It matches the Rfam family "tRNA". From Rfam's summary of the family: Transfer RNA (tRNA) molecules are approximately 80 nucleotides in length. Their secondary structure includes four short double-helical elements and three loops (D, anti-codon, and T loops). Lineage: Eukaryota; Fungi; Basidiomycota; Agaricomycetes; Polyporales; Polyporaceae. The record is from RNAcentral.
GGGCGUUUGGCACAGUGGUAGCGCGCACGCUUUGCAGUAAUGAUUGCGUGAGGUCCAGGGUUCAAGCCCCUGAACGUCCA